Long non-coding RNA from Anopheles merus, 2414 nucleotides. RefSeq lists it as uncharacterized. The record is from RefSeq and is a predicted model, not a curated record. Lineage: Eukaryota; Metazoa; Arthropoda; Insecta; Diptera; Culicidae. The transcript is spliced from 4 exons.
UUAAAGCCUCUGUGUGUCGUUUUUUCCCUUUUUGAAAAAAUUUAAUAAAAAAUAGGAAAGAAAUUUUCAGCAACCAGGCGGCUCCAUCGAAUUGUGAGGAUGAGAGAGAGGGAGAGAGAGAGAAAGAGUGACUCGUGUACGUCACUGACCAGCGUGAUCUUUUGCAUUGGUCGUAUUUUUAGUAGAUCGUUAAUUUAAUAGCGCCAACACUAACACACACCACGACGGCGAUGACGAUGAUGAUGAUGAUGAUGAUGGCGAAAGCAAGUCCGUCCGGAGUCAUAAUAAGGCAGAAUGGUGGCGUCCGAAGUUGUUCCCAAUCCAUCCGGUGUCCAUCUCUACGAACAAUAGUGUUUCCUUGCCCUAUCGGAUAUCAUAGUAGGUUUUGAUAAACGUGCAUGAAAUAAGACAUGUGAUUGCGUCUGCUGCGAGAAGAAGUGGUACAGCUACGGCAAGGAUUCCCAGCAGGUAUACGAGAAAUGGCGCCGAAUGUCGUACCAAGUAUACUGGUCACGUAUUCUUGUUGAACUUUUACCAGACACGAGUCGUCGUCGACUAGCUCACUUGGAUGACGAUCACCCACUUCCGGUCGCAAAUGGAUGUACACACUCAGUGUAUCACCAACAUCAUCAUCAUCAUCAUCAUCAGCCUUCAACCCUGCUGCACACGAAGCGUAACGCGUAACGCGCUAGAGUGCAAUUUUGCAAAUGGUGCAAAACCGCAACAUCCGCCGCGGUGCAUGUGUCUGUGUGUCUGCGGCACGCGAUGCGGUUCAAACUAAGGGACACCACUCUAGCCCGCCACUCUCCAGCGCGCAAAAUCGUGCAGCACAAGAUCAUCGUGCCCAGCUCGGUGCUCGGUGGCAUAUUUCUACCGGACGCGGGUUCGAUGCCGCCUGCCUAAAUCGUAUUGACGGAUGUUGUUUUAGUAUGUGGUCUCCACUAAUCCAGAUGACAUUCCGCAGGGAAAUGUUUAAUGCACUGACUGCCAAGUGCCAAGUUGAACUCGCUUCGACCUAUGGAGGCCGUGUUUUGGAAUUUUGCCGUAUGCUGCUUCGCGCCGCCAACGUAACGAAUGACAUAAAUAGUCCAAAAUUCGAACCGCGUACCGAUCGUUCGGCGUACAGAGAUAAAACUCCCCGCUCCCCAUACUGGCCGUAGCGACCGAGCUGAAGCGAGCCGCGAUGGUAGCUUCUUUCAUGGCGCCUCCAAUCUGGCGUCUGGUUAGCUUGCGUUGGGCCAUUGCACGACGGGAGCGUAAUUGAUGAUAGAUAUCUAGAGCGGGCGACCAGCCUGGGCACGCCUUAUGGGCGUACAAAUGGGCGCAGGCGCUCGCGUGCACUGUGCACUGAGAUGCACAUUCCCCUUUUCAGCUAAUGAGCCAGCAUCAAAAUGCCAUCAUGAGAUGUAUCUAGAACGCAGUAUGCGGCGGCAGUCUAGCAAGCGGUGUGCGAUGGGCAAAUCACACCAGGUCACACCAGUCCAGUGUGAAAGCUGUGAAUGGCCGAUGAGGUUGCUCACAUAUAGAGAGAGAGAGAGAGAGAGAGAGAGAGAGAGAGAUUCGGUGUCAACCAUUUUUCACAGCUUCAUUGCCCAUCCGACGUCAGCAAUGCAGUAGCAGAAGCUAACAACAACAACAACAAUAGCAACAGCAGCUAAUAACCAAACGGCCAUGCAUUACCAGCCAAUGCUGGCGUGCGGAGGAAAUCCCGUCCUGGCGGCAGCAGUACGGUAGUGGUUUGUAUAUUUAGAGUAGACUAGGCCGGGAAAAGUGGCCGAUCGAGGGAUGGGGUGGAGGUAAAAGUGGGAGUAAUCUAUAAAUAGAAAUUACUCAAUUUCAUUAACAUUUUUUCCCCAACAUUCACACUAACAUCUACCGGCAAGGGGCCAAGAGAUCGACUCUAGUCGUACAGCUCAAACACGCAAACACACUUUACUUGCAAGUCUUGCAAGUCUUCGCUCUGGGUAUGUGGAUGGCAAGGAGAUGGCAGUGGAUCGUCCAUCGUAGUAAUCGGCGACGACAAGCACGAGGGGUUGGGGAGGAAGCGAGCGAUCGAAAGCGUUGGUAAACAUUCGGGGCACUAUUUUUCGCUGUCUCAAAAUUGCGUCGCGAACGCUUGGAUUACUGCAAGCAUUUGAUAAGAUAUUUUCCUACGUCCGGCAGAGCGCGACAAUUUUGGUUGGCUGCAAAACCGGAAGAACGGUCGAGAAGUUCGCCGUGUGUCAUCAUUAUCUUGUUGCUGCACAAAAAUCUUUCCGAGUGUCCGGGAUUCGUGAAAGAUAUUAUUAUUUUGAUUGCUCUUCUCAAACUCCUUGGCGCAGGACAGGUACCUGGGCCUCCAGGAGAACGACGCUUUGCCUGGCUAGGAAGGGUGUCGUGUCAACGUGCCUCGAGUUUGGCUAACAAACCUGGCA